This 468-nucleotide ribosomal RNA is filed under the name uncultured bacterium. Its description in RNAcentral is "partial 16S ribosomal RNA". It matches the Rfam family "Bacterial small subunit ribosomal RNA", at positions 28 to 507 of the family's 1533-position model. The record is from RNAcentral.
GACGAACGCUGGCGGCGUGCUUAACACAUGCAAGUCGAACGGAAAGGCCCUGCUUUUGUGGGGUGCUCGAGUGGCGAACGGGUGAGUAACACGUGAGUAACCUGCCCUUGACUUUGGGAUAACCUCAGGAAACUGGGGUUAAUACCGGAUAGGAGCUCCUGCUGCAUGGUGGGGGUUGGAAAUUUUCGGCGGUUUGGGAUGGACUCGCGGCUUAUCAGCUUGUUGGUGGGGUAGUGGCUUACCAAGGCUUUGACGGGUAGCCGGCCUGAGAGGGUGACCGGCCACAUUGGGACUGAGAUACGGCCCAGACUCCUACGGGAGGCAGCAGUGGGGAAUAUUGCACAAUGGGCGGAAGCCUGAUGCAGCAACGCCGCGUGCGGGAUGACGGCCUUCGGGUUGUAAACCGCUUUCGCCUGUGACGAAGCGUGAGUGACGGUAAUGGGUAAAGAAGCACCGGCUAACUACGUG